RNAcentral lists this ribosomal RNA (546 nucleotides) under Phialocephala helvetica. RNAcentral's name for it is "eukaryotic LSU rRNA". The stretch from base 198 to 351 matches the Rfam family "5.8S ribosomal RNA". The record is from RNAcentral. Lineage: Eukaryota; Fungi; Ascomycota; Leotiomycetes; Helotiales; Mollisiaceae.
GUGAACCUGCGGAAGGAUCAUUACAAGUGAGGCUACCGAACGCUGGAAACAGCGGUUAGGAGCUUACACCCACCCGUGUUUACAUACUAUUGUUGCUUUGGCGGGCCGUGGCCUCCACUGCGGGCUCUGCUCGUGUGUGCCCGCCAGAGGACCAAACUCUGAAUGUUAGUGAUGUCUGAGUACUAUCUAAUAGUUAAAACUUUCAACAACGGAUCUCUUGGUUCUGGCAUCGAUGAAGAACGCAGCGAAAUGCGAUAAGUAAUGUGAAUUGCAGAAUUCAGUGAAUCAUCGAAUCUUUGAACGCACAUUGCGCCCUGUGGUAUUCCGCAGGGCAUGCCUGUUCGAGCGUCAUUUAACCACUCACGCCUAGCGUGGUAUUGGGGCACGCGGUCUCCGCGGCCCUCAAAAUUAGUGGCGGUGCCGGUGGGCUCUAAGCGUAGUACAUACUCCCGCUAUAGAGUUCCCCCCGGUGGCUCGCCAGAACCCCCAAUUUUUACAGGUUGACCUCGGAUCAGGUAGGGAUACCCGCUGAACUUAAGCAUAUCA